AAAGUCGUAACAAGGUUUCCGUAGGUGAACCUGCGGAAGGAUCAUUAUGAAUUUGAACUUGUGGUGUGAGACUGGUUUCGAUUUGUUUCGAACGGUCUCGUCCGCAUUUCUUUUUCUGUGAACUGUUCUCAAGUCUUUUAUUUUAAAAGCUUGGGUUACUUUUUGUUUUCUUGUAUUAUUCCAAUUAAUUUUUUCUAUUUUUUCGAGUAAUUCUUGCAAAAGAAUGAAAAAAAGAAAAGAAAAAACUAUAAACCAAGACAACUUUCAGCAAUGGAUCUCUUGGCUCUU
Molecule: unclassified non-coding RNA, 288 nt
Filed under: Ascomycota sp.
Lineage: Eukaryota; Fungi; Ascomycota
Description: partial contains small subunit ribosomal RNA, internal transcribed spacer 1, and 5.8S ribosomal RNA
Rfam family: Eukaryotic small subunit ribosomal RNA (bases 1-47)
Source: RNAcentral